CUUAUGAAGUACCUUUUGCCAGAAAAUAAAAGGACAAAGGGGAAAAAAAAAAAGCAAAAAAAAAAACCAUGAUUCUGCUUUAUUUUUAUUACUUUUAUGUCCAUGCUCUGGAAAACAAAAACCAGUACAUCUGUGUGUGUAUGUUUGUGCAUGUAUGUAUGCUGGAUUUACUCAAAUAACAAGAAGGAAAAUUAAAAGAAUUGAAGAAUCUGGGACUCGAAUUCUCUUACUUCAAUAGUGUUGCAAGGACUUAGACUGUGACAGAUACUGGCAUAUUGUCUCGCUGUGAAUGAGAGCUCUACUCUGAAGCUUCUCUGUUCCUAAACAGCAAAAUGCACUAGUCAUGAGGCACAUCUGAAGAUUUGGGAUUUGAUGUGUUAUUCUUGAUCUCUUCCUUUCCAGUGAGCAUUGCCUACCCUGUCAAAUGCCUGGCCUGCUACUGACCUUUAAUUUCACAAUAGGUUCAUGUUGACAAAUCACUCUGAAAUGAUAUCAACACAGAUACGUAACUCAUGCUAUAAGAAACAGAAAGGAGCUUUCAAAAGCUGGUGAGCACGGGAGAUAAGCAGAAGUCAUUAUGUAUAAGGGGAGAUGCACAUUCAACUGUUUGCGUGUUGGGCUGUCAUCUUCAAAUACCAUAUUAUAAUGCUAAAGCACCUUUUAUUUUAUUUUUUUCCUGAAAGCCUACUACAGUUUUGGGGUUUGUUUAUUUUUUUUGCCUUUUUCUUUUAAGUAGUCCCAUACUGUCACUCAAAUUUUGUUAGGCUGCCACCUCUAAGAUGAAAGACAGAAGAAGGAAUACAAGUGGGACACAAUACUGAACAAUCAGGGGGUAAAUGGGAUUUUUGGUUACUCUUUAACACUCCCGAUCUUUCCUAUUGCCACAGACCUCUUAUAGGAACAAAGAGGAGAUUUAGGAACUCAAUUUCAGGGUGGAUUAUAUGAUAAUCAAUUUAGGUUUCAGAGGAAAUAAAAGACAGAAGGCAGAGGGAGUUAAAGAUGACUGCCCAUAACUAAGGAAUUUCAGUCUUCAGCUUCAUACCCUUAAGAAACCCCUCUAGCAAAGUUUCCUUUUUUCAUCGCUCUUUAUGUUAUGGGGUAAACGUCUAAAGUGAUAAUUUAACCACAGAAUGUUUGUAUUAAACACAGGCCUCCUGCUCUCUAGUUUCUAUAAUUUACAACAAAGAGUUUAUUAAACACAACUCUUUCUGUCUGACAUUCAAAUCCAUCUCUGCAACACAGUCUCCUCUGGAUUUGCGCCACUGAAUGAAAUGCUAUGGAAAAACAAAAUAAACCAAAACCCUGCUGUGGAAACAGGACAAAUCUAGUUUCACAUCCCCUGCAGAGAGAGAAACAAGACGGAAGUAAAAAGCACCAAAUGGAGCUCGUAAAGCUUCACUCUGAUCUCAGCCUCCACGUUCUGGCAGAAAGCACCACCUAAGAGAUGCGCUCUGCUCCAACUGACAACAGCCUCUGAUUACAGCGUGAGCACAAAAAUAUAUUGUCUGUGAACAAUUAUCCUGAGCAAACUCUGAAUAAGGGAAAUCUGAUGACAGAAGAAGUGGAAAUGUGGUGGGAGGUGGGCUGAUCGGCCCCCUUCCUUGCCAGGGCCUUAUCUCACGCGCCAGCCAUCUGUAGUAGCUGGGCCUGCUACCACAGCUCGUGGCCGCCUCACAACCUCCCUGCUGCAGCCUGCCUGCCUCUCACGGUGCGGACAGGUGGGAAUAGCUGUGCCCAUCACAAGCCUUCCACCACAGGGGGAAGCUGUUGUGGCUCUGUGACAAAACCAGAUCCUUUCCACAGGACAUAUGCACCGAUUUACACUUGCUUUCCUUGUAGCACUCUACAUAACAGCACACAGGAAGGAAGGAGCCCAUCCUCACCCACAGGUGCCAUGUAGAAUCAAGGCAACUGGUGUUCAUUAAUUCUUUUCAUAUACACACAAAGAAAAGUAAGGUAUUUGUUUGGAAGUCACUGCCCACAACCGGGACAGAUUCCAGACAUUUUGAACCUAACACGACUUACCUAGAAAGAGAAACAUGCACACCUGUAGUGCCUUCCCAGUAUUUCUUUUGUCACAUCAUUGAAGACAGCCAACAACUCGAAAAGGGCUGUGAUUAUGGGGCAGAAGUUCUUUUGGUGAGAGAGUUACCUUUACACAGCAUCCUUACUACAUACAUACAUACGUACACAGACGGCAAAGGAAAGUAAAAGCAAAAAUCCAGACACGUUGAGGCUACCUUAGGAUCAACCUAGCUGCCAUCUUACAGGUAAAACUGCUCUUAAAUUCAGGUAGGAAACAGCUCUCCUGCAAGAGAGCUGCAAGAAUGCUUUGCCCAAAUGUGGGAAAUCCUUUAACACAAUGUAUUGCUGAAAUCCUUCCUGUGGCACCCAGAAGAUCACAUCCACUUCUGUAUCAUUGAGCUUAAUUAAUUGGUGCACUUAGCACUUUCUAUAUAUUCCUUGUUGGGCUUUUACAGGGAGAACAUACUUGAAUCUCAUGUCAUAGGAUCACACCUGUUUUAGGUUCUAGUCCUCUAUUCCACUAAAAAGAGUGAUCUGCUGAGAUUAUUUUUUCUUUUUUUGCUAAUUAAUUCAUUUGAGACUAUUCCUUAAAUUUUCAUUUUAAUGCAUUUUUGUGUGAGGGUAUUAUUAAUCACUUCUAAAGUUGUUUGCAACUGCCACAGAUUAAAAGUCUUCGCUAACAUACAUAUAUACAUUUGUUUAUUUUAGGUAUGUUUGUGUAUGUAUAUUUACAAAAAUACUAAAAAGGAAAAAAAAAAAAAACAGCUUUCUAACUGCAUCUUUCUCCCUCCUCCCUUCUCCAUUCUGAACAGGUUCCUGCUAUCAACUGCUGGAGUGUGCUCACUCUACACCUAGAGCUAUAAUUAUUUUGCUUUAAUUUUACAAAACCUUUUGUUCCAUUCCCACGAGCCCACCUGAUCCUUAUAUUACACUUGCUCUAUUAAAACACUCAUGCAGAACAAAGCACAGUUGUACUGAUUCAUAAGUAACUCGCCCCCCAACCCCCUUCUCUUUUUCUUUCUACUAGGCUUAUACCUCUGGCUGUAGUUUCAUGACACUGUUUGUAAUGCCAGUCCACAGUCCCAUUUUUGCCUUUUUCCUCCUGUUUCUUUUAAGCCUUUUUUUUUUUUUUUUUUUUUUUUUUUAAUGUGCUUAGGGUCAAAUUACACUAUUGUGUGCUGUUGUUUUGAAUUGAUGUUAUUCUCAGUCAUUUUAUGUUAUGCUCUUUGGCACAACAACAGAAAUAGUGCAGAGGGUGUUUUGGAAUUUAUUUGUUGUAGUCAGACUCUAGGAUUAUUUUUUUUAAUUAUUAUUGUUCAUACAGUACAAGCAGCAAGGAUAGCCCCACAUUUUUCUGAAGCAAGUAGAAGACCCUUUUUAGCCCAGACUCUGACUUCAGCAUACCCUAUAUGCUGGAAAAGGGUAUAAAAGCUUACCUCAAGGUGAUUCCUAUUACCUGAGCAUGGCCUGCAUACACCACCAGGCUUUACGAAAGACUAAGCAUGCUGGCAACACUUGCAAUAGGAUCUUCACAGAGGUAGUGGGCAUUUCAGAAAAAGUAACCUCUCAUAAAUUAUUGCUGAAAAAUAGGACAGAGCCCGGCUCCUCCAUAAAGAUGGGAACAAUAGAAGGGCUUUUUCAUCUAUUCGUCCUGUAAAACAACAACUUAGAGCCAAGACAGCCUUCAUUUUCUGACUUAUAAAGCACCAAGCGUGUUGCUAGGACUAAGCAAUGGAUAGAUAGUAAUCAGCCAGAACAGUGAGAAAUGGGUGUGCAUGAAAAAAAAAAAGCAGUAGCAUGAGGCAAUAAAAUUGAGUUCUCAGUAGCCAUCUUUUCAAAAUGGAGAGCAAGACAUCUGGCAGUGCCCUCCUGAACAACAGAGCUGGUAGGUGACUAUGGGAAAACAAACCGGGUGAAGGUGUAAAAGAAGGCAAGAAGGGGAAGGGAAAUGGUGUGUGCCUUUUUUCUGACAUGUCUAACAAUGGUGAAUACUAAUGAUUUAUAGAAAUGAAAGAGAAUAACAGGGAAGAAGGUAAAUGUGGCAAGGCACAGAACAAACACGGCUGUAAGGGGUACAAACGAAAGUUGCAAUUUACCAAAGAAUAACCGUUCUGCACAUUUUAUGUAGCAUGUCAAAUCUAUCAGAUAUUCUCUUAUUAAAUCAUCAUUCUACAGCAACAAUCAUUCUCUCAAUCAAUCCCCCGUGUUGUUAACUCUUAGUAAUGACUAACUUGGCAGGAACUGAUGUUUACAUAUAUUUUAAAGUCCUGAUAACUGCUCUGUAUUUUUUGGAAGGUAAAUUUCCUUUACAUUUUGUCUUUUGUUUUUUAACCUAUUUUCAAAAGAUGGACGCAUUCAAUUGGAAAAUAAAAUUUUGUAACACACACAUACAUAUAGAUUAUGUUAGCUCAGGAAAUUGGUAGUGGGAUAAGAAUAAAACCGUUCACCUCCUGAUUGCUGAUUCAAAUCUAGCCCAAGUGAGAUAGUCACAGAAGCUAUAAAACUCCCAUGGUGGCUUUGUGAUUUGAGAUUAUUUUUUUAUGAAUCUCAAUCCACUUUAGGCCAAAAACCAGCAUCACAAACCCACUGCCUCAAUGAGCAUUAACUAGCAUCACUGCACACAGUAACGUAGGGAGAUGCCAAAAAACUAAACUGGUCCAUGACAAAGAGUUCCCACUUUAUUGUGGGAACUUUCCAUUAAAAGACAGGGUUGGUGCAUACAAAUGUGCAGCAUGAACAGAGAAGUACAGCUCUCUCUCUAUAUCAAACAGGAAACAAACCAGCCCCCCUGUAGUCAAAUCAGCUAAGAGAUGCACCAUUUACCUGAAAUGUGAACUGUUUCUCCAAGAGAUCAGGAGUCCUAAAUUUUCUUCAAAGCUUCUGGUUUGAUAGGAAGUCCCUGUUUCACUUCAGAGCCAAGAGCAGAGGACAGGAGAAUUACACAAAUGUUUUCUAUCACAAUUACUGAGGAGGAUGUGCAGCAAGCUUAUGCAUUCCUCACCCCUUAAAAUCAAAGGGGGCACAGACAGUAACCACAAGCUUUGGUUAUUCUCUGGUCUACUUCUCCUGCCUAGAUGGGAGGAACAACUGAGGCAUUUGAUUUUGCAGAAUACUAACCCUGAGGAGGGUUGUGUUGCACCUUUUACUUUAUUAUGGACAUGACUGGUUAACUGAUGAUUAGGAAAGCUGUUGCACUAAACAAAAAUCCUACUACAGCCAACAAAACAGUGAUGCUCAGGCAUAUUCCCCGUGGCUCUUUCUUCUAGGGAGCAUAAAUCAUCAGAGUCCCUCAGGAACUACUUACACCAGUUUCCUCCCUUAGAUACGUUUGCUAACCUGAGGGGCUAAAGGUCUCAGGACUCGAGUAGAUUUAAGAUUUCCUACCAUCUGUGCUGAAGUGUAGCCAAUGCAAAUUCUACCUUCAGAUCUGCACUCCAGUGCCUCCCUGUUAUGUUUCAUUUCACACUUAUGAUCUUUAUUCCUUAGAAACAGGAAAAAUGCACAGCUGAUGAGACGUUUGCAUGCAGCUUGAAAUUGUUCCUUCAGUGGAUGCUGCUUGGACGUGCACUUUAUGCAAAGGGAAGCGAGAUGAGGAACAGAACUGCAUUUUAAAUGGACAAAUAUUCCACAUGCUACACAGGGACUUGGAGAAACAAGUAGCUCUCUUCAAUGUUUUCAGAGACAUCACUUGAAGUAUUCAUAGAUACAAUGUGAAAUAAUAGGUGAGAAGUUGAGACAUUUUCCUUUUCUUUUGCUAUCUAUUCAUUUUUUCUAAUUGAACAAAUGUGGGUUUGAUGUCUUUUUCCACAAUCACAAAAUAUUUUAAAAGGAAUAGCCAAAGUUUUAUAAGGAUACCUGUGAAUACAUAAACAAACAUACAACUUGUUUAUGCUUCCAUCACAGGAGCUCUAGUAAAAUCAAUGAAAGAAUUCUAAAGGUAUCUAAAUACAGAGAAUAAGUACAACUAAAUUCAGCUGAUAAACUGGAAGAAACAGAAACAACAGCCAACAAUGCUAUUAAUUACUUGUGGGGGAAAGCACAUCUUCUAUAUGAAUUUAAACUUAAGAUCUGAUAUAGAGAGAGAUUAUUUUACUUAGGAGAUGUUAGGUUAUUAAUGCUGGUCCACAGCAGAGAAUUCAUAUACACACUGCAUCUUUUUAAACCUACAGAAGCUGUUUGAAGUCUGUUUUGGGGAAUCUCCAGAGCGAACCAAUUUGCCAAGGGAACUUGGAUGUCUGUGGAAAUACACAUUACUUGAAGCCAUAAAUUACAAGAUGGCUAAAUCUACUGAAGCAUGGAAACAGUACUUCAGCCCAACAGAUAGAAUUUUACCAAAAACAAAAAGAGAUCACUCUCAGAAUACCCAGUAGAUAACUUCAGCUCUCAUUUAACACGAAGUUUUAUGGGUACUAACUACACUUCAAAAACCUCUUGUGAACUUGCUUGGUGUUACUGGGAGAGCAGAUUAUACCAGUGAUCAAGAGAAUGCAAAAUCUAAGUAUGCUUCAAUCUGCCAUGCCACUUCCAAGAAAAAAGGUAGUGCUAGAAAAGCACAGAAGCAGGAGUUCUGUGCAUCUCUCACAUUGAACUACUAUGCAAUGUGACGCUGUCCAUCUGCAGUCUGAAGAGUAAAUCUGGGCUCUCAUGAGUCUUAACCUCUGAGGAAGCUGAGAUCUCUUCUGAGAGCUGGUUUAACUUAUUUAAUAACUAACACACUGAGCUUAUAAGCACUGGGAUUUAACAGCUUUCUUCAGUGACUACACCCAUGUUGGAACCUCAUCAUUUUGUAUAGCAAGUGACCCAUCAGCUUUGAGAGUCUGCCAAGAGUCAGAGAACACAGGUGUUAACCAUGACAAGGUGUUUACCAGCAUGGUUGAUAACAUAAACAGUAGGGAGGGGGGAAGUUCAUAUAUUUCCUACGAGAGAACGUUUCAGAUGAAGAAAGAGUACCCGAAGACAAGAUGCUGGCAUAUACAGAUCCCAGACCCAGCCUUGACAUAGUAUCUGAGUGUAGAUCAGGAUUUGUAUUUUACAAUCAGUUUCACAUGUUCUAAUUGGUUUCUCAAGCUGCACAGAGAGCAGAGGAAGUUCACUUAGACAUACAGAAGGAGACAAUAGUAAACUUUUGAAAAAACAUUAUAGAGAAUAAUUGUGCUCUGGAGGAUUUAUUUAUUUACUAACAUAAACAGUACACACUGAGAUAACAUCUGGCGAUGUUUACUACAAUGAAACCCAAUCAAUACUUCCGUCUACUACAAUAUCUGUCCGCAAAACAGUCAUUCCUCCUGGCACUCACAACAAAUACUCAUCUAUCUAUUAUAGUAGCCUUUGUCAGCAAAAAGAGAGGUGAUCACCUUAAUUCUGUUUGAAAUCCAACAUCCAACAGAAUACAGAAAAUCAGAUGUACCUGGAUACAAAAACAAUGUCGGAAAACCAGAGAGAGAUGCAGCUUGUAGCAUGGCAAAAUUCAUACUUACAGCAUUUAAACAUGCAACAGAUCCCAGAUAUUUUCUUUUUUUUUUUUUUUCUUUUUUUUUUUUUUUAAUGAGCCUGGAGGUUUAAAGUUUGGACAUUCCUUUCCUUCUGCUAGUAAGCUAAUGAGCCUUUUGUUGCAUUUUAGAGAUACAAGUAAAAUCAGAAAGUUUGACUUCUCAUUUCCUUUCGAAGUCAGAAUUCAAAAAGAAGCAACACUGAGCUUUUCCACAGAAUUGAGAAGUCAGAAAUGAAUCCAUCAAGGUUUCGAUGUAAGCCUUCAUAUUGUUCUAUAUUUUUGUAUUUGCAUUAUUACUUGUCCCUGUAGAAAGACUGUUCUGUAUCACUGAAGCACAGCCACUAAGCAUUACUUUAGUACCCACUGAACCUUUACCUUUCUUAGACUCGUGCCCCUUCCAGUCCAAGAAACAGAUUACCAUGCAGUGUCAUGCAUCACUACUAUUUAUAGGUAAUGAAAUUAAGCAAAAAAUAACAAGACCACACAAUAGAUAGAAAACAAAACAAACAAACAAAACCUCUGAUUUUCUCUUCACAAAUUUUAAAUUGAUAAAACUUUUAUUUUUACAGUCCAAAGAAAAACAAUAUGCCUGAAUAAAGUGACUAUAUAUAAAGUAAAUGUACAUUUGCCCCUCUUUAAUUUCACAUCUUGCUAUCUCACUGUGCAAGCUACUUCUAUUUGUACAGGGCCUGAAGGUAAAACAUGACCUUCCGUGCUAUACCAAAUCCUCAGGAAAGAGAUAUGUUCGGAAGAUAUUGUAGUGAUAUGUUACCCUUUUCCCAGACAAAAAAAAAAACAAAAAAAACUUCUCUUUGACAAGAUAGUUGGGGUUGUAGUUAUGAAGUAGGGAGAGCAGAGAGGCAAGAGGACACAAUUUGUUUUCUUCUCUUCUGGUAGAGAUCUACAGGGCAGCGAAGGGCUCAUUUUAGCCUGGACUAGCAAACUAUCAGUGAUGGUUAGCCCAGCAGUAGAGGAAGCUGUGUGCAACAGCAGUCCCUGUAAUUUGCACUAGGUAAGAUUUGCAUUAACAUUUUCUGUUUAGCUUCUUACAGUUUAUUGCUUUCUGUCCAACUGCAGUCCUACCAUAACCUAAAGUUCUUCAGGAAGUGGCCAGUAAGGAAUGAACUAUGGAAGAAGCUUAACAUUGAAGAGAUAGUAGUGAACUGGACAAAAACACAGAAAUGGACCAAUAGCAAAAAUCCCACUGAAGUAAUGAGAGGCCCUACUGAAAGGACAAUAGAAACCAUCCAUCUUUAUUGUCAGUAGAAGCACACAAAUUAGCACUAGACUUGCAAAUACACAGAAUGCUUGAGCUAGUUUUAAGCAUGAAGACUGGGAUUACAGACUCUAGGAAUGAGCUCCGUCAAUUCUUCUAAAUUUAAACAAAGACAGGCCAGCACACACUCACUCAGUUUUGAAAACUCCACACUGAAAUUAUCAGCACGGGAGUCUCCA
RNAcentral lists this long non-coding RNA (8971 nucleotides) under Gallus gallus (chicken). RNAcentral describes it as "lncRNA (ENSGALG00010006722.1)". The record is from RNAcentral. Lineage: Eukaryota; Metazoa; Chordata; Aves; Galliformes; Phasianidae.